AGAGGGUGGCCGGGCGGCCAGCGUCUGAUGUCAGCCUGGAGCUGGGCCAGGGAGUGCAGGGCGGGCGGCGCUGGGAGCGAGGGAGGAAGGGUGCGGGGCCGGGCCGGGCUGGGUGGGCGCCCGCGGCAGGCGUAGGGGCUGCGCUCGGCGCUCCCGGCUGCGCGCUCGGCCUCGGCGGCGGCCCGGGCGCCCGUGACUCAGGGUGCGUCACCGGAGCAGAUGCCCGGGGCGGUUGGAGGCUCCCGGGCUCCCGCUGACUCAUCAGAAAGGCCUGCCGCGCGGCCCGGGGGGCGGGGGAACGUGGGGGACCGCGGGGAGCUGCCGGGCAGGCGGCAGCCGAGGUCGUUUGAGGCGCGCAGAGCCGGAAAACCCCACGGAGACGGCUGGGCGGGGGCGGGGCGAUCGGCACUGACCAGGUCACCUGCAGCGCGGGCUGACGGCGGGCGACUGAAGGAGGGAGCAAGUCUCCCACCCCCAGCAGCCGGCGGCCGCUUCCGAAGUCUGCCCCCUUCCACUGCGGAGCGGCGCCCCGCGGGCCCCCAGCCAGCGCGCCCGAGGCGCCCCCGCCCCGUGUCGCUCGCGCUGCGUUAUUGGGAGAAGGCGGUUCCUGAGCACCAGCACGGGCCUCGGUGACACCGGAGGUCGCUGGGGUCUUCCCCUUCCCCUUAAGACUCUGGGUCUGUCUGUGGGAAGAGCUUUCAUUCCCCACCCCACUCUAUGCCGACCCUCUCCGGGGGAGGCUCCACUGGCACUGUAGACACCACGUGCUGGGUAAAAAGGCCUGGUCCCAGCGCUUCCCUGUCACUGACUGCUAACCACAAGGCGCCGUGGCACUCAGGAAAUGCGGCAGGGGGGCUGGAGAACUAUCAGGAAGGGGUGUGGGCAGAGAAGAGGCUUCCACCCUGUCUUGGAACACGGACACAGUCCAUGGCAUUCAAAAGAGGUGGGAGGCUCCUCUGUGCACGUGCCUUCCGCCCCCGGGACAGGUGGAGGAGGGGAUUUGACUGGUCCUCACCCUCUGCAUUUAUAGUCUGGGCACACCUUGGGCAGUGCCGCAGGAGGGCGCUGUGGAGUACAGGCACAUGCAGAAGGUGUGGCGAGGGCUUCCUGGUGGAGCUGGCAGUAGGGCAGGGACCUUGAAAAGGAAUGAUUUGAACAGAUCGGAAAAGACAUUCCAGACAGAAACAAAUGCCUGAAACCCAAACCGAGAAGCAGGAAAGAGCAGACUGCGUUCUCGGAAUGGCAGGGAGUCCAGUUUGACUGGAAGACCUGAGGCUCAGAGGCGCAUCACGGCCCAGAUGCAGACCACAGAGGCAGGCACAGUGGCCCAGGAGGACCGAGGACCUGGAGUCACGGGGUUCCGCCCGCUGCCCCUGGGGAACCGAGUCAUGCCAGUUCCCAGACAGAUGAAUUCCUUCCAAGAAUUCCACAGUCCUGCUCAAUCCUAGCCGCCAAGCCUCCUGGCCUUGGAUGGCUGCUGUCUAAUGCAGAUCCUCUUUCAUCCAGAUUUCAAAUAUUUUUCCUAUUCUGUCCUUUGAUCACUAACGUUUAUGUUUAUCUACAUCAGCAUCCCUCAAUCCUGACGGCACUCUGAAAUUAUCUAGGGGUGCUUUAAAAAAGAAAAAUGUUGAUGCAUGGCCCUCCUCCAGGAAAUCUGAUUUUAUUGGUCUGGGGUGGGGCCCAGGCAUCAGCAGACUUUUAAUGAGCAGUUAGAGAGGAGAACCACUGAUGGAGAUGGUCACCAGGGAGUGUCCAGGUCAGACCGCCACAGAAGAGUGCAGCCUCCUGGCCUUCAGACCCAACUGGGACAAACCCUGAGAACAGCCUUGGCAGACCUCCAGGGGCAGCUGGACUCCCUGAGGCUGGAUGUUGCAGCCUCUCCCAGGCAUCCACUCUGCAGCUGAGGCCAAAGUUUCCAACGGGAAGGGAGGGUGAGGCUUCUAUUUGUUUCCCAAGAGCCAGCUGACCUUUGAAGCUAGUGAUAACCACCACAAACCUCACUGGUGGGAGAACGAGGCACUGCAGCCAGUUCUCAUCAACCCCACAUCCCUGCAGGGGGCCCCAAGGCGGAUGUGUCACCAUCCUCUGCAACGCUGGGCCUCAGAGGUGGAGGAGGCCCAGCCAUGGCCAGAUGGGGGAUCUGGGGAACAGGUCCUCUGCUUUCUGGGAAAAUAGAGGAGAGUCUCCGAGUCUGGGCCUUGCCACUCCUCACUCAGCAUCUGACCAUCCCCACCUCCUGGAUCUACAGGGUUCAUAGAGGAGGACCCAGAAGAGGGAAAGUCAGGCUGAGGAACUUGGCCUCCCUGCUGCAAGGGAAAUGACAUCGGUUACCAAGGAGGUGACCAGCUAUCCUUUUCCAAGACUGAAAAGCAGAAAUACGGCCCUGAGGCUAGAGGGUCUAAGAGAACAAUAGGAAGAAUUUCCUGACAAAGGACAAUGUUGCCUAAAGGACUCAGGAAGCUCUGUGAAAACAGGAGACUCCCGAGCAGAGCACCAGACCCUUCUCCACCAGGCAGUGUUUUUCCCAUAUGACAGGUGAGAAAACUGAGGCUGAGAGACAUGUAAUAACUUGCUGAAGCAGCAACCAGCACACCAUAUAGCUGAAAUCUGUAGAUCAGCAGUUAAAAGUGGUAGGGCAAGUCCUCUCUGACUUUCAGCGCUAAGAGCCUAGGAUUCUGUGUUUUUCUGCUUAAGCCUGGGAAUCAGAGUCCUACAAAAGCCGCGCCUAAUCCUGGGGGUGUGGGCUUUAAACCCAGAGAGAAAGCAUGUUAUUGGAAUACUCCUGCACUUUUCUCCCUUUGAAUCCCACCACGGAAAGAAAAUUCUGUGACGUGUACCCAGUAUUUAUUGGAGGGUAUUUCCUAGCAAGAAAAUGAGGGCGAUUGACCAGGCACGGUGGCUCACGCCUGUAAUCCCAGCACUUUGGGAGGUCAAGGUGAGUGGAUCACAUGAGGUCAGGAGUUCGAGACCAGCCUGACCAACAUGGAGAAACCCCGUCUCUACUAAAAAUACAAAAUUAGCCGGGCGUGGGGUGGCGCAUGCCUGUAAUUCCAGCUACUCCUGAGGCUGUGGCAGCAGAAUCGCUUGAACCCGGGAGACAGAGGUUGCAGUGAGUUGAGAUCAAGCCAUCGCACUCCAGCCUGGGCAACAGAGUGAGACUCUGUCAAAAAAGAAAGUGUGGUACAUCUAUACUAAUGGAGUACUAUUUAGCCGUCAAAGAAAAAAAAGAAAAGAAAAAGAAAGAGAAAGAAAGAAAGAAGGAAAGAAAGAAAGAAAAAGAAAAUGAAGGCGAUUGUCAACAGCCUCUGGAAAUACAGAGCAGGGUCCAGAAAUGGCCCCUUCUUAGAUGGCGGGCUGGACAGUGCUGCUCCUUCUUAGCCACUGGCGGCAGAAAGACAAAGCCUGGUAAUUGUUCUUGGGAUUCUCCCUGUCACCUCUCCUUGUAGGUCACAAGCUUCCUGAUGCGACAGCCCGUGGGACUACUAGAAGGAAAGAUACUCCUUUUCCCAUUUUACAGAUCAGGAAACUGAGACUGGACAGAAACACCACCAGGAUUGAACUGUGAAUGGAUCUGACUCCAACCCACAAAUUCUUCACCUGGUCUCGAAAAGAGGCCCUGGCAACCUACUGCGCACCAGAGGGGAACCCGCCCGCCGUCCCAGGCCGGGCUCUCCCUGCUGCGGAGCGGCCCGGGCGCGGCGGGACAGGGAACGGAAGGAACGGGCUUGGCGCGCACUCGCCGAGGCCCAGGCAGGAUUCGAGCGCCAGGGAGGCGCCCAUUUCCCUUCCCCCGCGCCUGGGAACGCGGUGCUGGGGGCGGGGCCCGACCGCUGCCCCCUCCAAACGCCUCGACCGCCAGGUGCCCCGAAGCCCGGCCUCCCCUCCCACCCCCGCGCCUGUUCCCGGCGCAGCCCGAGCCGUGGCAGUCACGUCUCCCCAUCCGGCCCCAAAAAGCCACAGGGGAACUGCCUCCUACAGAUAAAAAGAUCCCUGCUUUGAGCCUGAAUGAAUCAGCCAAGGCCCCCUUUCUUCCAACCAACCAACCCUAACCAG
This 4053-nucleotide long non-coding RNA is filed under the name Homo sapiens (human). RNAcentral describes it as "non-protein coding GASAL1:20". The record is from RNAcentral. Lineage: Eukaryota; Metazoa; Chordata; Mammalia; Primates; Hominidae.